GCGGGGCUACCCGCUGAGUUUAAGCAUAU
RNAcentral lists this ribosomal RNA (29 nucleotides) under Tripodanthus acutifolius. RNAcentral describes it as "partial 28S ribosomal RNA". Lineage: Eukaryota; Viridiplantae; Streptophyta; Magnoliopsida; Santalales; Loranthaceae. The record is from RNAcentral.